Non-coding RNA from Callorhinus ursinus (northern fur seal), 1441 nucleotides. Lineage: Eukaryota; Metazoa; Chordata; Mammalia; Carnivora; Otariidae. The record is from RefSeq and is a predicted model, not a curated record.
GCGGCGGCGGCGGCCGGAGCUGGAGGGGGAGGAGGGGAGGAACCUGAUCUCUCCGGUAGCGAAGGGCUGGAGGCAAACACCGAGCUCCCCCAGAGCCGCCCGGGAGCAGGGAGGGCACCGCUACCGCGAGGGGCCCUCCCCGCGGGGCAGAUGAAUUCAGUAUCCAGAUUCUCUGAGCCAUGUUUUGGGAUCACCCAAGCAUUCCAUCCUCCUGAAUUUUCAUAAAUUACUGGAUUCAUAACCCACUCCAUACUUGAGAAGAUGGGGAUUGGAAUAAGGAUCAAGAAUGGAGUGACCCCUCAUUCUGUCACUCACUAUUAUAUCAUUGGGGCAAAGAGACAAAGACUCUGUUCUGUUGUUGGAAGUGACUCCUUUUCCAUUAUCACUAUUUUCCUGCAAUACUUUAGUCAAAAGGAGCAAGGCACUAUGUCACAGGUGCAGCUUCUUCAUUUUCUUCUCAGCUGGCCUGGGCUUAGGACGAUGAUCUGCCACUCUCAUGUAUCAACCCAACCCACAGGUAUGAAUCAUCAGUGUCUUCAACUAAGAGGACCGAUAUCUUCUAGUUAAUGACAGAAGCGGAGGAGGAAUGGAAAGAAGCCUGUCAGAGGCUCCCAGGUGAUGCUGAUGCUGCCCUUCUGAGGACCACACUGAGUCACCAGACCAUAAACAAACCUCAUCACUAUGAGGUCAGCUUGCCUUCCACAGCAAAACAGAGUCAAAGGGCAGCCAGAGGUGAGCCCCCCUGGGGUCGUUUUCUUAGGUUACAAAGCUAGGGUCUAAGAGUAGAACUGAAUGCCUUCUGGAAAGAUGCUUCAUGCAAGUCUGAAUAAAACGGAUCUUUUGAAAUGUCGGGAUGCAUACAGUUACCAGAAGGCUGCCUACUCAGCAGGCUGGAGUUGGUGCUUUCUAGAAUGCAACGUCUUUCCAGAGAAACCCCUGUAACAAAAAAGGUGGUGAAGAUUCCUAUGCUGGUCCCGUUUCCUCAGUGAUUCCCUAGCAUUGUGGCAUGUGGGGUGAACCACCAGUGGACUAGCUCCAGUUAUUAAAGGAAGGCUGUUGGCCAGCAUGGUGUAAAGAGGAAAAGGAAUCUGGGAAAUAAAUUACUUCCAUCUCAGCCAGAAUAAUUGUUUCACGUUUACUGAAAUAAAAUAAAAAAGAAAUAGGAAAAUUUUCCAUUUUCUUAACAGCUAGCUCACCUCUGUGCUACCUAUUUUCCUGAGAGAGAGAAAAAGAGGGCGAUAAAAAUCUGUGGCAUCUUUACUCCCAGUGCUACCUCCAGUUGAUCUGUAACAUAUCUGCUGUGUGCAUCUUUAAAGCAACAUUUGUCCUAUUCUUUGUUUCCCAUUCAACUGAGCGUCGUAAAGUAUACAGAGGAACGUAUGGGAAAAAAGGAGGAGGGAGAUUCCCAUCAUGAAAAUGUGAUGUUGAAAUCAGAGUAUGA